UGACUCAAGCCACUAAACACUGUCAAUGAUAUCUAUCCCAUUUACCAAGAUCAUAUAUCAAAAGACCAAAUGCCACCAACGUACUCCCAAUUACCAAGAGUUAUGCCACCUAAAUUCCCUUGGAGUCGGGAUUGUAGGCCAAGUACCUCAUUUUGUCUAGCAUGCAUAAAUAAUAAUCCCCGUCGGGAUUGUAGGCCAAGUACCUCAUUUUGUCUAGCAUGCAUAAAUAAUAAUCCCCGUCGG
This 243-nucleotide long non-coding RNA is filed under the name Lathyrus oleraceus (garden pea). Its description in RNAcentral is "Pisum sativum (pea) long non-coding RNA (PSAT_LNC017334)". The record is from RNAcentral. Lineage: Eukaryota; Viridiplantae; Streptophyta; Magnoliopsida; Fabales; Fabaceae.